GGUAGAGGAUGAGAGGUAAGCCCUCGCAUCAAUGCGAGAAGGGCGUUCGCCCCAAUAUUACCUUGUUACGCUUAAUGGGCGCCCCCAUUUUACCAAUCUGAUACC
Non-coding RNA from Picea glauca (white spruce), 105 nucleotides. Lineage: Eukaryota; Viridiplantae; Streptophyta; Pinopsida; Pinales; Pinaceae. The record is from Rfam.